AGUUGUUGCAUGCACAGCUGUUUAAAAGGUGCAAUUGCACCACUACCAGAUGGACCUGCGUUGUAUUAGCUAGUUGGUGAGGUAACGGCUCACCAAGGCGACGAUACAUAGCCGACCUGAGAGGGUGAUCGGCCACACUGGGACUGAGACACGGCCCAGACUCCUACGGGAGGCAGCAGUAGGGAAUCUUCGGCAAUGGGGGCAACCCUGACCGAGCAACGCCGCGUGAGUGAAGAAGGUUUUCGGAUCGUAAAGCUCUGUUGUAAGAGAAGAACGAGUGUGAGAGUGGAAAGUUCACGCUGUGACGGUAUCUUACCAGAAAGGGACGGCUAACUACGUGCCAGCAGCCGCGGUAAUACGUAGGUCCCGAGCGUUAUCCGGAUUUAUUGGGCGUAAAGCGAGCGCAGGCGGUUAGAUAAGUCUGAAGUUAAAGGCUGUGGCUUAACCAUAGUACGCUUUGGAAACUGUUUAACUUGAGUGCAAGAGGGGAGAGUGGAAUUCCAUGUGUAGCGGUGAAAUGCGUAGAUAUAUGGAGGAACACCGGUGGCGAAAGCGGCUCUCUGGCUUGUAA
Molecule: ribosomal RNA, 571 nt
Filed under: uncultured Bacilli bacterium
Lineage: Bacteria; Bacillati; Bacillota; Bacilli
Description: bacterial SSU rRNA
Rfam family: Bacterial small subunit ribosomal RNA
Source: RNAcentral